GGAAGAAUUGUCUCUACUAUACACUUGAUGGCUCUUGCUUAACGUGUACUUUGUCAGUGGAGCCCCCCGUCCAUAUUUCACAGUGAGAGAGAGAGAGAGAGAGAGAGAGAGAGAGAUUCCUUUGAAUGAGAAUCAAAUCAAUAUGCAGAACAAUUCCCUGCUACUCUGUAUAGUUUAGUGGGUGCAUCGAAUUAUAAUUCACUGAGCAAAUAUGGCGGAUAUCAAAGAAGAUAUAGGUCACGCCCAGCAGCAGCACUUGAAUCUGACUGUUGAAGCUCCAAAAAUGGAAGAAAAAGAAGAAGAGAGAGAGCAGAUGAAGACCAAACGUGUGGCUUCGCUCGAUAUUUUCAGAGGUCUAACAGUUGCU
This 367-nucleotide long non-coding RNA is filed under the name Olea europaea subsp. europaea. The record is from RNAcentral. Lineage: Eukaryota; Viridiplantae; Streptophyta; Magnoliopsida; Lamiales; Oleaceae.